Molecule: long non-coding RNA, 1468 nt
Organism: Orbicella faveolata
Lineage: Eukaryota; Metazoa; Cnidaria; Anthozoa; Scleractinia; Merulinidae
Source: RefSeq, a predicted model, not a curated record
GUCGAGUGUACUAACCAUGAGGCCACCGCGCCUCUCAUAUUUAGAUCAAAAUGUAUCAAUAAAACAGAAACAUUGAUCUGACGGCAGGUAUUGCAUCUUUAUCCAGUUAAUAUCCUGAUCUCUGUUCCCUGGCCUCUGGCUUCUGAGCUAGUGGAGAUUUUACAUCAUUUAUUUGUUGCCAGUCCAGACUUGCCAGUCCAAUCAGUACUGUAAUAAAAAUAUACAAUGUUGUUAUUUUAAAUUAAUAAUUUGGUCUUCAUUUUCCUUUAUUUCUUUUUCUCACCUGAAGAUGGGCAAGUCCAGGAGAUCCUCUGGAUGGACUCAAGCUGAAAUAAAUGCUACAUUGAAAAAGCACACGCCCUACGACACCUGGAAAUGAUCUCAGCCCGGUCACGGUGACAAGGUUAAAGCUAUCAUUACAGUGCGACUACUCGAACCGCGCCACCUGGGAAAGAGUUAACCAAUCAGAACGUUACUUGAGAACAAAGGAUAGCGAUCCUUUUCUCAAAUAAACCAAUAACAUUGAAGAAUACGAAAAAUAGAUCUUAACAAAGUUGAAAACCCAACACAGGUUUAUAAUUUCGAUAAUUUGCCGUCAAGGAAUGAAUCUCUAAGAGUGUAUGUAACGUUAAGGAGUCGAUAGUGUUUAUGUUUCCACGCCAAACAGACCGUUAGUUGCCGUCGCGAGAAGCUAUCAGUCCAUUGUUCUCAGUUUACGUUCUGGUUAGUUAGUUUUGUUUUAGGUGGCCUGGUUUGAGUAGUUGCACUGUAAAAAACAUUGAUGAAGAAAUCCCCGUGGAUGUUCCAAAGCCUGGAUGAUCUGCAUGUUGCCAUGUUUGAGAACUAAGUUGAGUCCACAGGCUGUUUUGUUGAUCAUGUCUGGUUCCUGUAAAAGCCCAUUGCACAAGCAGCCUGUGUCAUCCUGGCUGAAAUAACGUAGAGCAAAACAAGAAAAUUAACGUUAGAAUUUUGGGAUCAUUACUGUAAGGACCUCUCCACUGGAGCCAUAGUUAAUAAAGGGGAAUGACAAAAUAUGUUUUGUAUGUUUUUGUUUGCUUUUUUGGCCUUGACCUUGCACAGAACACAAUAGCUGUUUACUUCUGACGAAGGAACAAACUAAUAGAAACCUUUCAUUAUGCAAUUCAUGCAUAGAAUAUGAGCGAAAACCAAAGAUUGUGCACGGUCAUGGACCUUCCAACUUCAAUCUUGGCGUCUUUGUUUUCUCCUUUGAUGUUUGCUGGCUCCAUAACCAUUCCCCUCUGCUAACUAUGCUGGAGUGUAGGAAGGCUUUUUUUUCUUGUCAGAAAAUUAAUGUAGGACUCUGUAUGAUUUAUGAAAGACAGUUAACUGAGCAGGUUGUUGAUUAUUGAACAUUCGUGCUGUAAUUCUUUCCAAGUGGGAGAUAUUUUGAGUAUUUGUGAGUCUAUAAGUGGAAGUCUGGCAGAAGAUUAAACACAGUGAAACAGUU